Molecule: ribosomal RNA, 287 nt
Filed under: Enterobacter hormaechei
Lineage: Bacteria; Pseudomonadati; Pseudomonadota; Gammaproteobacteria; Enterobacterales; Enterobacteriaceae
Description: partial 23S ribosomal RNA
Source: RNAcentral
GGUUAAGCGACUAAGCGUACACGGUGGAUGCCCUGGCAGUCAGAGGCGAUGAAGGACGUGCUAAUCUGCGAAAAGCGCCGGCGAGGUGAUAUGAACCYUUGACCCGGCGAUGUCCGAAUGGGGAAACCCAGUGCAAUCCGUUGCACUAUCGUUAACUGAAUACAUAGGUUAACGAGGCGAACCGGGGGAACUGAAACAUCUAAGUACCCCGAGGAAAAGAAAUCAACCGAGAUUCCCCCAGUAGCGGCGAGCGAACGGGGAGCAGCCCGGAGUCUGAAUGUCUGAAU